RNAcentral lists this ribosomal RNA (116 nucleotides) under Escherichia coli. Lineage: Bacteria; Pseudomonadati; Pseudomonadota; Gammaproteobacteria; Enterobacterales; Enterobacteriaceae. The record is from RNAcentral.
UCUGUCGGCGUGGACACGGUGGUCACAACUGCCCCCAUGCCGAACUCAGAAGUGAAACGCCGUAGCGCCGAUGGUAGUGUGGGGUCUCCCCAUGCGAGAGUAGGGAACUGCCAGGC